Anthonomus grandis grandis is the source of this 727-nucleotide long non-coding RNA. RefSeq lists it as uncharacterized. The transcript has 2 exons. NCBI's taxonomy places the organism in Eukaryota, Metazoa, Arthropoda, Insecta, Coleoptera, Curculionidae. The record is from RefSeq and is a predicted model, not a curated record.
UUCGUAUAUUUUAAUUGAACUUGUUAGUUAUUGUAAUAUAUGACAUGAAGUAAAAUAUAAAUAAUUAGAAGAGUGGCUUGCAAAUCAUGAGGUACCGAAAGGACACAAUUACUUCAAGAAGCCUCUGAAUAUUAUCAUCAUGAGAUUGGAAAUUAUAAGAAAAUACUUCAGAGUGUUUUAGUUAGUUUUCAGUUAGUUUCAGAGUGGUGGCUAAUCGAUUUGGAAUAACAAAAAUUUCUCUUCAUAAAAUCGUACGAAGAGUGGCAUUCUUUUUAAGCAAUUUAUCACCAGAUUAUAUAAAGUUCCCAACUCCUAACUAGCAAAUACUAAUUCAAAUGUAUGCUUUGCUGAAAAAUAUUUUCCAGGAGUGAUAGGUGUAAUUGAUGACACACAUAUUAAAAUUGACAAGCUUCAAGACGAUCCAGAUUUUUAUUUAAUUAGGAAACAUUUUUACUCUAUUCAGGCUCAGGUUGUAUGUGACCAUCAAAAGAGAAUUCGCGAUAUAUUCAUAGGUUAUCCAGGCUCAGUUCACGAUAGUCGAGUUUUUCGAUCAUCACCAUUAAAUGAUACUUUGAAACAGAGUGAAACAGAAAGAGGUGGUGCUUUUUUUCUUAUUUGAAAUAGCGGAUAUCUAUGUACUAAACACUUAUUAACGCCAUUUAAAGAUUUAACUAGAAGGCAAAGAAACUUUAAUUAUCUUUUAUGUUCCAAUAGAUAUUUAAUUGAA